Molecule: transfer RNA, 64 nt
Filed under: Histeridae sp. BMNH 1274739
Lineage: Eukaryota; Metazoa; Arthropoda; Insecta; Coleoptera; Histeridae
Description: tRNA-Tyr
Source: RNAcentral
GGCAUGAUGGCCGAGUUGUAGGCGGUAAAUUGUAAAUUUACUUACGAGAGAGUCUCUUUUGCCA